GUUAUAUGGUCAAGCGAAUAAGCGCACACGGUGGAUGCCUAGGCGGUCAGAGGCGAUGAAGGACGUGGUAGCCUGCGAAAAGUGUCGGGG
RNAcentral lists this ribosomal RNA (90 nucleotides) under Xanthomonas vesicatoria. RNAcentral's name for it is "partial 23S ribosomal RNA". It matches the Rfam family "Bacterial large subunit ribosomal RNA", at positions 1 to 83 of the family's 2925-position model. The record is from RNAcentral. Lineage: Bacteria; Pseudomonadati; Pseudomonadota; Gammaproteobacteria; Lysobacterales; Lysobacteraceae.